RNAcentral lists this non-coding RNA (28 nucleotides) under Rattus norvegicus (Norway rat). Lineage: Eukaryota; Metazoa; Chordata; Mammalia; Rodentia; Muridae. The record is from RNAcentral.
UGGCAUGUCUAAUUCUCCCUGCACAGCC